RNAcentral lists this long non-coding RNA (295 nucleotides) under Mytilus galloprovincialis (Mediterranean mussel). The record is from RNAcentral. Lineage: Eukaryota; Metazoa; Mollusca; Bivalvia; Mytilida; Mytilidae.
AAUUUUAAGAUGUUGAUACUGAUGACAAAAUGGAGGUCAAAUUUGAUAUUGACGAUUUUCACUUUCACCAUUCAUCAGUAAUGGUUCUUGUGAUAUUGCCAGGACACAAAUAAAUAUUAAUAAAUCCGGUUUGCUGUCGUUGUGACAGCCUCUUGUUGGUCCUGUUUUCAAAUUGGUCUACACUAAAGUCCAAAGGGUCCAAAAUUAAACUUAGUCUGAUUUUAACAAAAAUUGAAAUCUUGGGGUUCUUUGAUAUGCUGAAUCCAAAAAUGUACUUAGAUUUUUUAUUAUGGGC